UACGGAGGGUGCAAGCGUUAUCCGGAAUCAUUGGGUUUAAAGGGUGCGUAGGUGGGCAAGUAAGUCAGUGGUGAAAUCUCCGGGCUUAACCCGGAAACUGCCAUUGAUACUAUUUGUCUUGAAUACUGUGGAGGUCAGCGGAAUAUGUCAUGUAGCGGUGAAAUGCUUAGAUAUGACAUAGAACACCGAUUGCGAAGGCAGCUUGCUACACGAUCAUUGACACUGAGGCACGAAAGCGUGGGGAUCAAACAGG
This 253-nucleotide ribosomal RNA is filed under the name uncultured bacterium. RNAcentral describes it as "partial 16S ribosomal RNA". It matches the Rfam family "Bacterial small subunit ribosomal RNA", at positions 524 to 776 of the family's 1533-position model. The record is from RNAcentral.